Molecule: long non-coding RNA, 469 nt
Organism: Zingiber officinale
Lineage: Eukaryota; Viridiplantae; Streptophyta; Magnoliopsida; Zingiberales; Zingiberaceae
Exons: 2
Source: RefSeq, a predicted model, not a curated record
UUUUCUCACCCGAACCUCUCUUCUCCUCUCACGCUCGCGUCGGCGCUUCUCGUUGGGCGAAACCGCAGCAGCAAGUAAGGGGCGUUCCGGCGGCCAGCGAGGGUGUUCUCCGAAGAUUUCUUCACCUUCGUGAUCCCCUCGUUGAGAAGAGCAAGUGGGCGCAAGGAGAGGCCGAGAGCUCGAGUUCUCCCGAAGCCCUAGCUGCCUAAUCCGGAUUUGUAAGUCCAAGAAACGAAGUAUAAAGGUAAAGGAAAAGUGGAUCAGUAGCGGAGGCUGGAGGGCAAUGCUAUCAAGAUGUGUGUGGGCAGGAGUUGGAAUAAAGAUCUUUGGGAUCUAAACAGUUUUACUUCAGUAUUAGCACCUUGCGUUUUUAGUUUCCAUCAUUCAGUUUUGAUUGUUAAGUGUUAUGAGACAGUAAACCAUGCACUAUGUAGUAUGCCAGGUUUAGAAUGUUAGUAGUUUUAUAUUA